GAAACAGAGAGACAGAAAUUAAAUAUUCGAAUUCGAAAUUGUGAAUUCCUCUUCACAUUUGGAACGUUCACUGUCAACCUAUAUACCACCCAGCGAAUAGAAUCAAAAUGAAUGAUUUUAAAGGGGCAUCAAGUGAAAAUGCAGAGGCUUCAUCUAGCGGCUCCAGUAUAUAUAGAGACGCUUUAGCCGUCCUAUCGGACGAAGGCAGUCGGAGCGAGGAGUUUGAGUCGACCACGUCCGUGCCUGAUUCUGCUCAGGAGGAAAACAGGAUGUUAGCAGAGG
Molecule: long non-coding RNA, 282 nt
Organism: Saccostrea cuccullata (small rock oyster)
Lineage: Eukaryota; Metazoa; Mollusca; Bivalvia; Ostreida; Ostreidae
Exons: 4
Source: RefSeq, a predicted model, not a curated record